This 323-nucleotide ribosomal RNA is filed under the name uncultured eukaryote. RNAcentral's name for it is "partial 18S ribosomal RNA". It matches the Rfam family "Eukaryotic small subunit ribosomal RNA", at positions 1470 to 1796 of the family's 1831-position model. The record is from RNAcentral.
CCCUUAGAUGUUCUGGGCUGCACGCGUGCUAAACUGAUAUUGCCAAUAUGUCAUUCUUAUCCGAAAUGGAUUGGGUAAUCAAGUAAUGAAAUUUCAUGCUUGGAAUCGGUAAUUGCAAUUUUAUCGUGAACGAGGAAUUCCUAGUAAGCACUAGUCAUCAGCUAAUGUUGAUUAUGUCCCUGCCCUUUGUACACACCGCCCGUCGCUACUACUGAUUGGGUGUUCAAGUGAGAUGCUUAGACCCUUGUUGCAUGGUUCAUUAUUGUGCUCCGAAAGGAAAAAGUUUCAAGCUUGAGUGUCUAGAGGAAGUAAAAGUCGUAACA